AACUUUUGACAACGGAUCUCUUGGUUCUCGCAUCGAUGAAGAACGCAGCGAAAUGCGAUAAGUAGUGUGAAUUGAAGAAUUCAGUGAAUCAUCGAAUCUUUGAACGCACAUUGCGCCUUUCGGCAUUCCGGAGGGCAUGCCUGUUCGAGAGUCAUUAACAACCAGUUCAAUCCCUCUAAGAAAAUAUUUGGGGGAUUGGUUAUUGGUGAAUGAGGGGAUGCGUGCAUCACGUUGAAUCACCUCACCACCGAAAUUCAGAGGCGGUUUGUCCCCCACGUGUUUGUGGCGUUGUAAAGGCUUACCAGCACUAUUCGCUCGCAUCGUGGGUGCACUGCUUGCCAUUGGAGAAAUCCCCAUUCAUCAAAGGUUGACCUCGGAUCAGGUAGGGAUACCCGCUGAACUUAAGCAUAUCAAUAAGCGGAGGCU
RNAcentral lists this unclassified non-coding RNA (426 nucleotides) under uncultured Humaria. Its description in RNAcentral is "sequence contains ITS2". The stretch from base 1 to 154 matches the Rfam family "5.8S ribosomal RNA". Lineage: Eukaryota; Fungi; Ascomycota; Pezizomycetes; Pezizales; Pyronemataceae. The record is from RNAcentral.